RNAcentral lists this ribosomal RNA (498 nucleotides) under uncultured bacterium. RNAcentral describes it as "partial 16S ribosomal RNA". It matches the Rfam family "Bacterial small subunit ribosomal RNA", at positions 28 to 508 of the family's 1533-position model. The record is from RNAcentral.
GAUGAACGCUGGCGGCGUGCCUAAUACAUGCAAGUCGAGCGAACAGACGAGGAGCUUGCUCCUCUGACGUUAGCGGCGGACGGGCGAGUAACACGUGGAUAACCUACCUAUAAGACUGGGAUAACUUCGGGAAACCGGAGCUAAUACCGGAUAAUAUAUUGAACCGCAUGGUUCAAUAGUGAAAGACGGUUUUGCUGUCACUUAUAGAUGGAUCCGCGCCGCAUUAGCUAGUUGGUAAGGUAACGGCUUACCAAGGCAACGAUGCGUAGCCGACCUGAGAGGGUGAUCGGCCACACUGGAACUGAGACACGGUCCAGACGCCUACGGGAGGCAGCAGUAGGGAAUCUUCCGCAAUGGGCGAAAGCCUGACGGAGCAACGCCGCGUGAGUGAUGAAGGUCUUCGGAUCGUAAAACUCUGUUAUUAGGGAAGAACAAAUGUGUAAGUAACUAUGCACGUCUUGACGGUACCUAAUCAGAAAGCCACGGCUAACUACGUGC